GUCUACAGCUGUACCACCCAGAAUGCACCCGAUCUUGUCUGAUCUCAGAAGCUAAGCAGGGUCGGGCCUUGUGAGUACUUGGAUGGGAGACUUCUUGGGAAUACCGUGUGCCAUAGGCC
Molecule: ribosomal RNA, 119 nt
Filed under: Aotus nancymaae (Ma's night monkey)
Lineage: Eukaryota; Metazoa; Chordata; Mammalia; Primates; Aotidae
Source: RNAcentral